UACGUAGGGGGCAAGCGUUGUUCGGAAUUACUGGGCGUAAAGGGCGCGUAGGCGGCACGGCAAGUCAGGCGUGAAAGCCCGGGGCUCAACCCCGGAAUGGCUUUUGAAACUGCCGAGCUAGAGUGCGGAAGAGGCAACUGGAAUUCCCAGUGUAGCGGUGAAAUGCGUAGAUAUUGGGAAGAACACCUGAGGCGAAGGCGGGUUGCUGGGCCGACACUGACGCUGAGGCGCGAAAGCCAGGGGAGCGAACGGG
Molecule: ribosomal RNA, 253 nt
Filed under: uncultured bacterium
Lineage: Bacteria
Description: partial 16S ribosomal RNA
Rfam family: Bacterial small subunit ribosomal RNA
Source: RNAcentral